UCAUCUGGGCAUGCCUAAUCGGUCCAGUCAGCUGGGCUUACGUCUCCUUUGUGGAGAUCGCCGGAAAACUCCAUUUUCGGCGAUCUCUACUCCAUUUUCCUCCUCCCAAACUAUUAUCCUUACCCAAAAAUCAUGCAUUUUUCCAAAAAUCAACACAUGUAUAUAAAAUCAUGUUUUUUUUUUCCAAAAAUCAACAUAAAAACUUUAAAUAUGGGUCGUCUAUUUUUCUUUUUUUAUCAGUGCUACAGUAAUUUUUCUCUUUCCUUACUAUCUUCUCUUUCUUCUUUAAAUAGUAAGGGUAAAUUUGGAUUUCUCUUUAUUUUCAAUAUUUUAAACAUUUUUUUUUUUUUUU
This 352-nucleotide long non-coding RNA is filed under the name Olea europaea (common olive). RNAcentral describes it as "long non-coding RNA (OEUR_LNC007442)". Lineage: Eukaryota; Viridiplantae; Streptophyta; Magnoliopsida; Lamiales; Oleaceae. The record is from RNAcentral.